AUUGAACGCUGGCGGCAUGCUUUACACAUGCAAGUCGAACGGCAGCGCGGGCUUCGGCCUGGCGGCGAGUGGCGAACGGGUGAGUAAUACAUCGGAACGUGCCCAGUAGUGGGGGAUAGCUCGGCGAAAGCCGGAUUAAUACCGCAUACGACCUGAGGGUGAAAGCGGGGGAUCUUCGGACCUCGCGCUAUUGGAGCGGCCGAUGGCAGAUUAGCUAGUUGGUGGGGUAAAGGCCUACCAAGGCGACGAUCUGUAGCUGGUCUGAGAGGACGACCAGCCACACUGGGACUGAGACACGGCCCAGACUCCUACGGGAGGCAGCAGUGGGGAAUUUUGGGCAAUGGGCGAAAGCCUGAUCCAGCAAUGCCGCGUGUGUGAUGAAGGCCUUCGGGUUGUAAAGCACUUUUGGCGGGAACGAAAAGGACUGUGCCAAUACCACGGUUCGAUGACGGUACCCGCAGAAUAAGCACCGGCUAACUACGUG
Molecule: ribosomal RNA, 484 nt
Filed under: uncultured bacterium
Lineage: Bacteria
Description: partial 16S ribosomal RNA
Rfam family: Bacterial small subunit ribosomal RNA
Source: RNAcentral